AAAGAAGAGUAUUACCUUCUUAACCACUGAAUUUUAGGUCAUUUGUUGUGCAGCAAUCCAUAAAUGGAACAAGUAAAUGAGCUUGUUAAGUAAUAAGGAAAAACAAAAACAAAAUGCAGCAAGAAAGAUGGAUCACAAAAAUGUGAGAUAAGCCAAAGGUGACCAUUUCUCCAAGUUGCAAAGAUUGAAUCCUGGAUUGGCGUCCAUCAAAUGCAGGAACGCAUUGCUCGUGGCUCAGUUGCUGUGGGCUGGGAGUCUCAGAAGCUCUCCUAAGCAGCUGCCUGCCUACUUUUGGCUGGAGGUGAGUUUCCAUCUCUCUCUGGCCCCGCCUCAGCUGGUGCCAAACAUGUUCCUGAUUGCCUCGGAAGAACUGCCUUUGAAAUUUAACAUUGGCAUUGGGAUAGGUGAGUGUCCUUUGUGAGCCCAGAUAGCAGAAUCUGCUCCUCUCGCUUUGGGAAUAUUUUAAAGGAAUUUCCAUUCAUACGUAGAACAAGUUCUACUGAUUGAGAGAGAGAAGCAACUGACUGUUUCUUUCAGUAUAGACACUCUUGGGGACUUGUUUGUAAUUGUGUGUUGUAUCUAUACAAGUUAGUGUCUUCUGUGGGUACCAAACAGUAGGAUCAGCUUCCCUCAAUUUGGGAAAUUUCUAUGGAAUUUAUUGUUUGCAGGUUGAUCAAGCCCAACCAACAGAGAGAGCAUCUCAACCAUUUCAGUUUGGACAUUUGUAUUUGUUGCUGCAAAAGUUGGAUUGUCUUCUGGUGAUUGUGUGUGUUUUAUAUAGUCAUGAGAAAUUAGAAUUUGGUAAAGUGAUAUUCUUUUGCAAUACUGUUUGGCCCCGAUAUUGUUUGGAAUUCUGGAGUUUGCUAUUGAAUGGGAAAGACAGAUGGAGUUGCAUAUAUCCAGGCUUUUGUGCUGCUGUUCUAAGCAGGGUUAGGCCUGCUUACUAUGCGAUGUUUUCCUUUGGUGUUGUUAGGCCCCUGUGUUCUUUUGAGUCUGGGGAGGUUUGGCCUUUAAAAAUCAAACUUGAAACUGCUUUACCCAAAAUUUUGGUUCACAGCCUUAACUGGAUUACCUAUUGGGGCAAACAAAGUAAAACUGGUAAGCUCGUAUUGCUAUCUCAUGGCUAGAGUUCCAAGCUAAAAGCUAUUGGAACUUUGUGAGUGUGUAUACAUGUCUAGAUGUGUUUAUUUGUAUGUACAAAUAUUGUUAUAUGUUGUGCCUACAAAACUGGCUUCUAAGUAAAAGAGUGCUCAUAAACUAAGUAAAUAAGUCCAACCAAUUUUCAAAGUCAUGUGACUUAAGUAAAUCUUUACUAAACAAGCUGGCUUUAAAAUUAUUGGUAAAAUGAAAAUAGAGAAAUGACUUCAGAAUUGUCAGUAUAUAUUUUGUCUGGGUUUUAUAUUUGUCUUUCCUAGAUAUUUGAGAUGUCAGUGCUUGUCAUAGACAUUUAUAAGGCUAUUGAUCCAGCCAAAACAAAAUGAUCUUGGUUUGUGUGACUUAUUUGACAAAUGAGAAUAAUUUAAUGUUGUUAGCUGAAUUUUCUGAGUUACUGGUCAAAAUACCUAUGUACUUAACUUUGAGGCACUUACUUAGGUGAGCACCUGAU
Molecule: long non-coding RNA, 1606 nt
Organism: Homo sapiens (human)
Lineage: Eukaryota; Metazoa; Chordata; Mammalia; Primates; Hominidae
Source: Ensembl